This 729-nucleotide ribosomal RNA is filed under the name uncultured eukaryote. Its description in RNAcentral is "SSU rRNA". It matches the Rfam family "Eukaryotic small subunit ribosomal RNA", at positions 670 to 1426 of the family's 1831-position model. The record is from RNAcentral.
CGGGUGCACUGAUCCGGCCGGGCCUUUCCCUCUGUGGAACCCCAUGGCCUUCACUGGCUGUGCGGGGGAAACAGGACUUUUACUGUGAAAAAAUUAGGGUGCUCCAGGCAGGCCUAUGCUCGAAUACAUUAGCAUGGAAUAAUAGAAUAGGACGCGUGGUUCUAUUUUGUUGGUUUCUAGGACCGCCGUAAUGAUUAAUAGGGACAGUCGGGGGCAUCAGUAUUCAAUUGUCAGAGGUGAAAUUCUUGGAUCUAUUGAAGACUAACUACUGCGAAAGCAUUUGCCAAGGAUGUUUUCAUUGAUAAGGAACGAAAGUUAGGGGAUCGAAGACGAUCAGAUACCGUCGUAGUCUUAACUAUAAACUAUGCCGACUAGGGAUCGGACGAUGUUAUUUCUUGACGCGUUCGGCACCUUUCGAGAAAUCAAAGUGCUUGGGCUCCAGGGGGAGUAUGGUCGCAAGGCUGAAACUUAAAGAAAUUGACGGAAGGGCACCACCAGGGGUGGAACCUGCGGCUUAAUUUGACUCAACACGGGGAAACUCACCAGGUCCAGACACAAUGAGGAUUGACAGAUUGAGAGCUCUUUCUUGAUUUUGUGGGUGGUGGUGCAUGGCCGUUCUUAGUUGGUGGAGUGAUUUGUCUGCUUAAUUGCGAUAACGAACGAGACCUUAACCUGCUAAAUAGCCCGUACUGCUCUGGCAGUUCGCCGGCUUCUUAGAGGGACUAUCGG